CCAAGCGAUGGGGUGACGCAGGAAGGUAGCUGGGCCAGUCAGUGGUUGUACUGGUGUAAGAGUGUAGGCCGUGACAUAGGCAAAUCCGUGUCACAUUUAGGCUGAGACUUGACGCAUACCCGUUGUGGGGAAUUCAGUGAUCCUAUGCUGCCGAGAAAAGCCUCUAGUGAGUUCUUACACGGCCCGUACCCCAAACCGACACAGGUGAUCAGGUAGAGAAUACCAAGGCGAUCGAGAGAACUGUGGUUAAGGAACUCGGCAAAAUGCCCCCGUAACUUCGGGAGAAGGGGGACCAUGCCCGGUGAACAUCUUCACGGUGGGAGCUGGGUGUGGUCGCAGAGACCAGAGAGAAGCGACUGUUUACUAAAAACACAGGUCCGUGCGAAGACGUAAGUCGAUGCAUACGGACUGACGCCUGCCCGGUGCUGGAAGGUUAAGAGGACCGGUUAGCCGUAAGGCGAAGCUGAGAAUUUAAGCCCCAGUAAACGGCGGUGGUAACUAUAACCAUCCUAAGGUAGCGAAAUUCCUUGUCGGGUAAGUUCCGACCUGCACGAAUGGCGUAACGACUUCUCUGCUGUCUCGACCACAGACUCGGCGAAAUUGCACUACGAGUAAAGAUGCUCGUUACGCGCGGCAGGACGAAAAGACCCCGGGACCUUUACUAUAGCUUGGUAUUGGCGUUCGAUUCGGUUUGUGUAGGAUAGGUGGGAGACUGUGAAGCAUGCACGCCAGUGUGUGUGGAGUCGUUGUUGAAAUACCACUCUGAUCGUAUUGGACGUCUAACCUCGGCCCAUGAUCUGGGUUAGGGACAGUGCCUGGUGGGUAGUUUAACUGGGGCGGUUGCCUCCUAAAGAGUAACGGAGGCGCCCAAAGGUUCCCUCAGCCUGGAUGGCAAUCAGGUGUUGAGUGCAAGUGCACAAGGGAGCUUGACUGUGAGACUGACACGUCGAGCAGGGACGAAAGUCGGGACUAGUGAUCCGGCACCGGCAAGUGGAAGCGGUGUCGCUCAACGGAUAAAAGGUACCCCGGGGAUAACAGGCUGAUCUUCCCCAAGAGUCCAUAUCGACGGGAUGGUUUGGCACCUCGAUGUCGGCUCGUCGCAUCCUGGGGCUGGAGUAGGUCCCAAGGGUUGGGCUGUUCGCCCAUUAAAGCGGCACGCGAGCUGGGUUUAGAACGUCGUGAGACAGUUCGGUCUCUAUCCGCCGCGCGCGUAAGAAACUUGAGGAAGGCUGUCCCUAGUACGAGAGGACCGGGACGGACGAACCUCUGGUGUGCCAGUUGUUCCACCAGGAGCAUGGCUGGUUAGCUACGUUCGGAAGGGAUAACCGCUGAAAGCAUCUAAGCGGGAAGCCUGUUCCAAGAUGAGGUUUCUCACCACCUUGCGUGGUUAAGGCCCCCUACAGACCAUGGGGUUGAUAGGCCGGAACUGGAAGCGCAGCAAUGCGUGGAGGUGACCGGUACUAAUAGGCCGAGGGC
Molecule: ribosomal RNA, 1476 nt
Filed under: metagenome
Description: bacterial LSU rRNA
Rfam family: Bacterial large subunit ribosomal RNA
Source: RNAcentral